AUUUUGUUUUCUUUUGCCUCUUUCCCUGUCUGAAUGGGAAGCAACGGUCAAUCUUUUGUCCUUCGGCAGGUGGAGAAAUAGAGGGACCAAGGAUGUUCGGAAUUUGGCUACAACAGUCACGGGAAAUUGUUCUAAACCUUCACUCCUCUGCCAGAACUUAUAUAUCUCUUUCUUCAAUCUCUCUCUCUUUCUCUUUCUUAUCCUCCAUGAGUGGCUUCUGUUUUCCUUCAAGAAAAAUUGUACAUGUCUAAGAGCUCCAUGGCUUCUAGUUCUUCCUUUUCUUGCUCCCCUUUAUCUCAUGAUUAUGAGAGACCAGAUCUUGAAUCCAUAAAAGCACUUGUACUUGCAAUAAAUGAAUACUUUCUUGAGUUCUUAGGAAAUGCUGAUUUAUGGAAUUCUUUGAAAUCUCAGUGCAUUUCUAAGCUAAAUAUUAGAAAUCAGGAGUUCUUUGAAUUCUCUGAGCAUUCAGUCCUCUCAAAUCUUUACUGGGGCAUUGAAAACAUUGAAGCUGCAAUACAAGCAAAUUGCACAGGAGAGAAAACUACUCGGUUAAUGAACUCGGAAAGAAUGCUUCAAGCCCCAGCAUUGCUUGAUGAACAUGGAGUCACAGCUGGAAUUCAAAACCAUUAUUUGGUUUGCUGCUCAUAUUUUUACCUCUCAGCAGUUAGGAAGCUCCAAAAUGAUGAGUGGCAGGUUGCCCUGCAUUUUCUCCAAGCAAUUUUGGUCUCUCCAAGACUUGUUCGAACCCAACUUGCACCAGAACUGUGUGAAACUCUCUUUCCAUCAAGCACUGUUUUGGAAAUGGGGAUCAUGGGUCGAAAGAAUGAUAAUGAAUCUGUCACAGAUUUUCUUAAUGAGGCCAAUAUCAAUGAUGCAGUCAGGGAGAUUACAAGAAGAUACAAACACUGGCUAAUGUAUUAUCAGAUCAUGUUAUAUGGAGCAACUCCUCAGUGGAAUUGCAUUAGCAGAAGUACAUCAUCCUAUAAUGGAGAAUCACAGCAUUUUUGGCAAGUGACUAACAGCAGUAACUCUUCAAAUUCAAUUGAGGAAGGACACUUCUUGCAAAAAUACAAGUUAAUGCAGGAUGAGAAAGUGCAUCCACUUGAUCCUCAAGAAUAUACAGCUGAUGAUACUGCAGACAAAACUAAGACAUGCAUGGAAAUUCAAGAACUUAAUGAUAAUAAUAAAUCUUUUAAUCAUUUGGAUCAAGUUCCAAAGUUAAAAAUUCACACUGAAAAGUAUACAAGCAUCAAAUGCCUCCAGGAAGUAUUGUUGGAAUCCCAAUCAGAUACACCAACUUCAGCAAAUUCAAGCUACAGUUAUUAUCUGGAAGAAGAUGAUGUGGAGGUAAACAUCGAUGAAAGUACAAGCUCAAUUAGAACUGCAGGUGAAGAUGAUCUGCAGCCAGCAGUUUGUGAACAGACACCACAGGCUUCUUGCUUGAAAUUAGAUCAAAUAUGCACAAUGAUGGUUUUUCCACAUGCUUCUCAACAAAAAGUGCAGGAAGUUGAUCCAGUAAAUAUUAGUAGAUUAUAUUCUGGUAGAUGCCCAAGUUCUAUCAGCGAUUUUGAUUUAUCCAUCUUGGAGCUUAGAAAUGGAAAGUCAGGCUCCUUCCUAGAUUGCAAUGUUGAAGACAAUUCAGCUCAGAGGCCACAAUGGAGACACAAGGCCCAAGUGACUGAUCAAGAAGCAACCACAGCACUUAAGAAUUGUAGGCUUAUGCAGAGGGAUGACCACAGCCAAAAUAGCUUGAAUGAAUUUUGUCUGCAUUCUGGAAAGGAUUCCAACAUCGAGUUAAUGACGAUAUUUGAGAAAGCUAUUUCAAGGCUAUGCUUCUCAGAAGGAUUAGCAAAAUGUGAAGAAGAAUAUGCUGUAGAAGUUACAUCCGUUUACAAAAUGUUAGACUGCAAAAAAGGAAUAAAAUACACAAUCUUAAAGGAAAUUAUUCUGGAUCAGCUGCUAACUGCUAUAUCAAAUUCUAAAGGGGAAAAUGUCUUAAGAGCAUCGAUAUCUAUUCUUUCAACUAUUGCAUCAAUAAACAAGUCAGCUAUAGAAGAUAUCAAGAAGAAGGGUUUGAGGUUAUGCGAUUUGGCAACUGCUCUAAAGCAAAAUGUGCAUGAGGCAGCUAUUCUUAUCUACCUGAUAGAACCAUCUCCAGUAGAAAUAAAGACAUUAGAAAUUCUUCCAGAAUUGAUGGAGAUAGUGUGCACUUCAAAUAGAUAUAAAGGAAAACCAGCUUCAGAACUGCUGACACCUCCUGCAGCAUCAUUGAUGAUUAUUGAAAUACUAGUAACUGCAUUCGACUGUGCUACUAAUAACAUGCACUUGGCUGCUAUCAAUUCUCCUCGAAUUCUUAGUAGGAUCUUAGAUGUUGCUAGAGAAAAUAAUUUGGAAGAGUGCAUCUCUAUGGCCAACAUUUUGAUAAAAUGCAUGCAGUUUGAUGGACAAUGCAGAAAACAAAUAUCACAAAUUACUCCUGUGGCUCCAUUUAAACAUCUCCUAAAAAGUAAUGUGAAGCGUGCCAAGUUCACAGCUCUUCAGUUUUUCCAUGAAAUCCUUUGCAUGCCAAGGUCAUCAGCCAUUAGCCUUUUGCUACGGAUACGUAAAGAAGGAAUUGAUGAGAUUAUGCACUUGCUGUUGCAGUGUGUCCAACAACUUCAACCUGAUUACCAACUUCUGGCAGCAAAUUUAUUUCUGCAAUUAGAUGCUUUGGAACAUUCAUCUGGCAAAAGUAUGUUCAUGGAAGAGGCCAUGCAAAUCAUCCUCAAGUCAGUGGGGUCUGAAGAAAACUCUACUUUGCAGCAACUAUCUACUUUCAUUCUGGCAAACAUUGGAGGAACUUAUAGUUGGACAGGGGAACCAUACACAGUUGCAUUGCUGGUGAAAAAGGCCGGUGUGACCUCUGUGUAUCAUCGGAAUAUGAUCAGAAAUUUUGACUGGUCAGAUGAAAGCCUGCAGGAUGCAGGAAUUGACUCAUGGUGUAGCAAGAUUGCAAAAGGCAUCAUUAGUACAGGAAGACCUGUCUUCCAAGCUUUAGAUACAGGUAUAAGAAGUAAGAUCAGGAAGGUCUCUCGGAACUCUCUCACAGCAAUUGCAUGGAUUGGAUGUGAAAUUUCCAAGUAUCCAAACAGCCUAAGAAAUUCUGCAUGUGAAAUACUGCUUAAUGGGAUUGAGCAAUUUCUGCAUCCAGGAGCAGCAUUUGAAGAAAGACUUCUUGCCUGUCUGUGCAUUUAUAACUACACUUCAGGCAAAGGGAUGCAGAAACUAAUCCAUUUCUCAGAAGGGGUAAGGGAGUCCCUAAGACGUUUUUCAAGUGUAACCUGGGUGGCUGAGGAACUACAUAGAGUAGCAGACUUUUACUUGCCCAACAAAUCUGUUAGUAUUCUAUUGCACUUAAAGCUGCACUAUUCAUGUGAGAGCAUAAGCUCUACAUUCUAUUUGCUUUCUGGGAAAAUGUUUUUCACAGAACCCAAUAGUUCCAUUGAACUCAUAAAUUAUAAUCCAAGUUAUAGAUUUAUGUCAGAUGUUUUUUUUAUUGUCUAACCAAACUUCUUUUAAUGGCAAGACCAGCGUAUAUCCUGUGUACAUACACAAAUUUUAGAGGCAAAACAGAGCAAAAGUGGAGCUGUAACUGCCCUUAUCUACUACAGGGGACUGCUUUACAGUGGCUAUUCUGAUGGUUCAAUUAAGGUAUGUAAUACUAUCAUAGAUUUUAGAGUUGGAUUCAAAAAGUAAGCUUGCAAAGGUCCAACUUGUGCGCUCAUGAAACAGGUGUGGUACAUCAAACAGCAGUCAGCCACUCUUGUAUGGGACCUGAAAGAGCACAAAAAGGCAGUCACAUGUUUUUCACUCUUUGAACCUGGGGAAAGCCUUCUAAGCGGAUCUGCUGAUAAGACCAUCAGGGUAUUUACAUAACAUGUCUUAUUGCAAAGAUUGCAUUCAUUGAUUGUUCUACUUAGUGCAGUUAAUUAAACCAAGCCUUAAUCCUGCAGGUUUGGCAAAUGGUCCAUAGGAAAUUGGAGUGCAUUGAAGUUAUAGCAAUGAAGGAACCAAUUCAAAAGAUAGAAACAUAUGGCCAAAUGAUUUUUAUGAUCACCCAAAGCCAUAGGAUGAAGGUACUAAUGAACGAGAGAAUAUAGAUGAUCAAAGUGAUUGUUGUGUGUGUGCACAUGUAUGCAUAAGUUCAUUCACCAAUGGAGAAAAUACAAAUCGUAAUGCCCUCGAAAAAUUGCUUGUGAAAAACUGUUUAACUACAGGACUUAUUAUUUAACAGGUGUUUGAUUCAUCCAGAAUAGUCAGAGAGAUAAGCAAGACUAAGAAGGUGAAGUGUAUGACUGCAAUCCAGGGAACGCUUUACAUAGGCUGCAUGGAUUCAAGCAUACAGGAAUUAGCCAUUGCAAACAAUAGGGAGAGAGAGAUCAAGCAGCCAAUAAAGAGUUGGAGGAUGCAAAAAAAGCCCAUCAAUUCUAUUGCUGUGCACAAAGAUUGGCUUUACAGUGCAAGUUCAAUCGUUGAGGGUUCAAAAGUUAAGGAAUGGAGAACACAUUACAAGCCCCAAAUGUCAAUAGUAAUAGGGAAAGGCAGAAACAUAGUAGCAAUGGAAGCAGUAGAAGACUUUAUAUACUUGAAUUGCAGCUCAUCAACUAGUACCCUUCAGAUAUGGCUGAGAGGCACACAACAGAAUGUGGGAAGGAUAUCAGCAGGCAGCAGAAUAACAAGCCUCAUCACUGCCAAUGACAUUGUUCUAUGUGGUACAGAGAAAGGAUUAAUCAAGGGCUGGAUACCACUCUAAAGGCAAAAGUAUUAUGUGAAGUGGCUAGAAAAUUCCACUACUGGUGUUUGGAGUCAGAUUUAAAUUUCAUGUAAAUAUAUAGCCAAGAAAGAAUAGAACUAUCAUUAUCAAAAUCAUAUGUUGAAAAAUAUAGUUUUGUUAUUUGUAUUACAGUUGAACAACAAACCUGGAGAUCAUGAAAAAUUAAUUUAUAGCACUCCCAGGCCGCUUUUUUGGUUUUAAUUGAUCAUUGUAUACUAUUGGAUCUAAAUCUAAUGGGUAAUUUUUAUAAUCCGUCCCAAAACUUUGUUUCAUGUUCACUACCACCUAGGCCUGUGCAGUUUUUGGUGUGAACCGAAAAACUGAACCGAGCCAUUUCGGUUCAAUCGGUUCGGUUUUUAAAUUUAAUCGGUUCGGUUCGGUU
RNAcentral lists this unclassified non-coding RNA (5195 nucleotides) under Hevea brasiliensis (rubber tree). Lineage: Eukaryota; Viridiplantae; Streptophyta; Magnoliopsida; Malpighiales; Euphorbiaceae. The record is from RNAcentral.